This 2393-nucleotide transfer RNA is filed under the name Candidatus Paraburkholderia calva. RNAcentral's name for it is "tRNA-OTHER". Lineage: Bacteria; Pseudomonadati; Pseudomonadota; Betaproteobacteria; Burkholderiales; Burkholderiaceae. The record is from RNAcentral.
GCCGGAACCAAGUUAUCCAGCGUGGUCAUCAUGAACAUCAAUUCGGUGUAGCCGUCUGCUCUGCGCAUCGUUUCGGUCUCAGUGUCGUUCGAUUCCUUGAUUCAACGUUUGCCCCGCCCAGUUUGCCCCUUCCCAAUCAGAUGAUCCGCGUAAGAUGACCCGUGUAGAGGGUAUUUCAAUAGCCUGCUAAAGCCUGUAUGGCGAACUCCAUGACGAAAAAGCUGAACGAUGUACCCGUCGAAGACGACGCAACGCAAAACGGUGAGUCCACUGCCGCCGCGGCCGCGCCUGCGGCGAAGGUAGAGAAGGCCAGGGCUCGCGAUCGCCGCGCGAAGGAAAAAGCGCUUCUGAAGGACGCGUUCUCGUCGAGCGCGCCCGGUACCGUCGAGAAACUCGAGGAGCGGCGCGGCAAGCUGCGCGCGCUCAUCAAGCUCGGCAAGGAACGCGGCUUUCUUACGUACGGCGAGAUCAACGAUCACCUUCCGGACAACUUCACGGAAACCGAGGCGAUCGAAGGCAUCAUCAGCACGUUCAACGACAUGGGCGUUGCGGUGUACGAGCAAGCGCCCGAUGCCGAAACGCUGCUGCUGAACGACAACGCGCCCAACGCUUCCUCUGACGAUGAAGUCGAGGAAGAAGCUGAAGUCGCGCUCUCGACGGUCGAUUCCGAAUUCGGCCGCACGACCGACCCGGUCCGCAUGUACAUGCGCGAGAUGGGGACGGUCGAACUGCUGACGCGCGAGGGCGAAAUCGAAAUCGCCAAGCGCAUCGAAGACGGCCUGAAGCACAUGGUCAUGGCGAUCUCCGCGUGCCCGACGACCAUUGCCGAUAUCCUCGCGAUGGCGGAGCGCGUGCAGAACGACGAGACGCGUGUCGACGAACUCGUGGACGGCCUGAUCGACCCGAACGCCAAAGAUACCGACGGUUUCUCCGAGCAGGAAGCGGAAGCGAUCGAAUCGGAAGAUGAGGAGUCGGACGAAGAGAACGACGAGGAAGAGGAAGAAGAGGCCGACGGCAGCGCGCAGGCAAGCGCGAACGCCGCGCAACUCGAGGCCCUCAAGCUCCAGUCGCUCGAGAAGUUCGCGCUCAUCAGCGAGUGGUUCGACAAGAUGCGCUGCGCCUACGAGAAGGAAGGCUACAAGUCGAAGGCGUAUCUGAAGGCGCAGGAAGCCAUUCAGGCCCAGCUGAUGAACAUCCGCUUCACGGCGCGUACCGUCGAGCGUCUGUGCGACACGCUGCGCGUUCAGGUGGAUGAAGUGCGUCAGGUCGAGCGCCAGAUUCUGCACACAGUCGUCGACAAGUGCGGCAUGCCGCGCGCCGAGUUCAUCGCGCGCUUUCCGGGCAAGGAGACGGACCUCGAGUGGUCGGACAAGGUAGUCGGCGAGGGGCAUGAGUACAGCGCCGUGCUGGAGCGCAAUAUUCCGGCGAUUCGUGAGCAGCAGCAGCGUCUGCUGGACUUGCAGGCGCGCGUCGUGUUGCCGCUCAAGGACCUGAAGGAAACCAACCGCCAGAUGGCGGCGGGUGAAUUGAAGGCGCGUCAGGCCAAGCGCGAGAUGACCGAGGCGAAUCUGCGUCUGGUCAUUUCGAUCGCGAAGAAGUACACCAAUCGCGGCUUGCAGUUCCUCGACCUGAUUCAGGAAGGCAAUAUCGGCCUGAUGAAGGCGGUGGACAAGUUCGAAUAUCGCCGUGGCUACAAGUUUUCGACGUACGCGACGUGGUGGAUUCGUCAGGCCAUCACGCGGUCGAUCGCGGACCAGGCGCGCACCAUCCGGAUUCCGGUUCACAUGAUUGAGACGAUCAACAAGAUAAACCGUAUCUCGCGGCAGAUUCUGCAGGAAACCGGCCUCGAGCCGGACCCGGCGACGCUGGCCGAGAAGAUGGAGAUGCCUGAGGACAAGAUCCGCAAGAUCAUGAAGAUCGCGAAGGAGCCGAUUUCCAUGGAGACGCCGAUCGGCGAUGACGACGACUCGCAUCUGGGCGAUUUCAUUGAGGAUACGAACACGGUGGCGCCGUCGGAUGCCGCGUUGCACGCAUCCAUGCGCGAUGUCGUGAAGGACGUGCUUGACUCGCUGACUCCGCGCGAGGCGAAGGUAUUGCGGAUGCGGUUUGGUAUCGAGAUGAGCACGGAUCACACGCUCGAGGAAGUAGGCAAGCAGUUCGACGUCACGCGUGAGCGGAUUCGCCAGAUCGAGGCGAAGGCGUUGCGCAAGUUGCGUCACCCGAGCCGCUCGGACAAGCUCAAGUCGUUUCUGGAAGGGAACUGAGAGAGCGGGUAGGGGCUUGUUUUGGGACGCGUUGUGAGGCACACUCACUACCCUUCCAUCAUCGCGCAUUGUUCUGAAGUAACGGAAAGCGCCGCUAUGGGGCUUUCUUUUUGCCCUUCUUCUUUAAAG